This is a long non-coding RNA of Ictalurus punctatus (channel catfish), 905 nucleotides long. NCBI's taxonomy places the organism in Eukaryota, Metazoa, Chordata, Actinopteri, Siluriformes, Ictaluridae. The record is from Ensembl.
GUCCACCACCACAUCCACCACCACAUCAAACACCUCUUACACCUCUACGUCCAACACCACAUACACCACCAGGUCCACGACCACAUCCAACACCUCAUACACCACCAGGUCCACGACCACAUCCAACACCUCAUACACCACCAGGUCCAACACCACAUCCAACACCACAUACACCACCAGGUCCAACACCACAUCCAACACCACAUACACCACCAGGUCCAACACCACAUCCAACAUCUCAUACACCACCAGGUCCAACACCACAUCCAACACACUCAUACACCGCCACAUCCAAUGCCACAUACACCACCAGGUCCAACACAACAUAUACUACCAUGUCCAACACCACAUCCUACACCCCAUACAACACCACAUCCAACAUCCCAUACACCACCAGGUCACACACCACAUCCACCACCACAUCCAACACCUCAUACACUACCAGAUCAAACAGCACAUACACCAUCACAUCCAACACCACAUACACCACCACGUCCAACACCACAUCCGACACCACAUACACCACCAGGUGUAACACCACAUACACCACUAGUUGGACCUUGUGGUGUAUGUGGUGUUGGACCUGGUGGUGGAUGUGGUGGUGGAUGUGGUGGUGGACCUGGUGGUGAACAUGGUGGUGGGCUUGGUGGUGUAUGUUAUGUUCGACCUGGUGGUGUUGGAUGUGGUGUUGGACCUGGUAGUGUAUGUGGUGUUGGACCUGGUGGUGUAUAUCGUGUUGGAAAGGUGUUGGAUGUGGUGGUGGAACUGGUGGUGGAUAUGGUGUUUGACCUGGUGGUGGAUGUGGUGGUGCACUUGGUGCUGGAUGUGGUGGGCAUGGUGUUGGACCUGGUGGUUUAUGUGGUCUUGGAUGUGGUGUUGGAUGUGGUGGUGGACAUGGUGGUGGA